This 281-nucleotide ribosomal RNA is filed under the name Shewanella sp. 2126. RNAcentral's name for it is "partial 16S ribosomal RNA". It matches the Rfam family "Bacterial small subunit ribosomal RNA", at positions 1064 to 1343 of the family's 1533-position model. The record is from RNAcentral. Lineage: Bacteria; Pseudomonadati; Pseudomonadota; Gammaproteobacteria; Alteromonadales; Shewanellaceae.
GUUGUGGAAAUGUUGGGUUAAGUCCCGCAACGAGCGCAACCCUUAUCCUUUAUUUGCCAGCACGUAAUGGUGGGACUCUAGGGAGACUGCCGGUGAUAAACCGGAGGAAGGUGGGGACGACGUCAAGUCAUCAUGGCCCUUACGAGUAGGGCUACACACGUGCUACAAUGGCGAGUACAGAGGGUUGCAAAGCCGCGAGGUGGAGCUAAUCUCACAAAGCUCGUCGUAGUCCGGAUUGGAGUCUGCAACUCGACUCCAUGAAGUCGGAAUCGCUAGUAAUC